RNAcentral lists this ribosomal RNA (254 nucleotides) under uncultured bacterium. Its description in RNAcentral is "partial 16S ribosomal RNA". It matches the Rfam family "Bacterial small subunit ribosomal RNA", at positions 524 to 776 of the family's 1533-position model. The record is from RNAcentral.
UACGUAGGGGGCGAGCGUUGUCCGGAAUUAUUGGGCGUAAAGAGCUCGUAGGCGGUGUGUCACGUCGGCCGUGAAAACCUGCAGCUUAACUGUGGGCGUGCGGUCGAUACGGGCAUCACUGGAGUUCGGCAGGGGAGACUGGAAUUCCUGGUGUAGCGGUGAAAUGCGCAGAUAUCAGGAGGAACACCGGUGGCGAAGGCGGCUCUCUGGGCCGAUACUGACGCUGAGGAGCGAAAGCGUGGGGAGCAAACAGG